CUCUGCGCAUAUACACUGCGCACUCCCUCCAUCCAUAACUGAGUGCUUAUACGCAACGUGGAAAUUGUAAAAAAAAUAUAAAAAAAUGUUGAAACAACCAGUAAAAAAGAAGGAACACGGGGAAAACAGAUAAUUAUUUCAGAAUUAAAAGCGGAGAUAAAAAUUCAGUCAUCGGGGUCGCAUAUGGGAGCGAUGCUUCGCGACAGUAGCCGUGUCGGGCCUCUGAGCUCCAAGUCGUUUCGUUUCUUCAGAAAAACUGACUGACACUUUUGUUUCGGUGUGUGUUUUCGUGCCAUCCAAGAAAGAACACUCGAAGGGGGAGGGAGGAGAAAGAAGAGCCGAAGAAGGAACGCCGAAGUUGUGUAGUGGUGGGGGUGGGGGUGUAGUGCGAAAGACUACCCUAAGGAGCCGUCUUUUCCCCUCCGUGCGGAAAAUCUCAAGAACGCGCCGCGGUCGAUAUAAGAAAAUGACGUCAUCGUGCUUUUCUCGCACGCCAUUGGUCGAGCCGGCCAACUCAACAAGAGAACAUGACCGCAAAAAAUACAAUUAUGUAUUCCAUGACGAAUAUUGAUGAUAUACUAAUGGCCGCCCGAUGAUUUACGGGAUUCAAGAUGGAAAUUCAUCAAAUCCCAGAGUAUUGGAAUUAGUAAGCUAAUGACUUAGUUGCAAAUGCUACUUGGUGGAAAUUCACCACAGAAUAGAGUAUUUUUCGAAAUGAUUCACGUACUUUACUCACAAGUAAUAGCGAUAGUGGUGUCAAUAAUAUCUCAACCAUGAUAAGUACGGAGUAUUGCAGAAGCCAUGAACAGAAUUUUACAUCAUAUUAUUCGAAUAUGAAAUUUCUAUGAACUUGCUUUUUAUCAAAUAAUUUGAUGGAGAUGGUGGAAUAUCGAAGUUAUUGAAAUUCUGAAAACUACUGUGAAAUAAAGAAAAUACAGACAACUACAUCCCACGAUUGUUUGAUUAUAAUGUUAUCAUAAUAUGGAUAUUCUUGCAAGAAUCGAUCACUCUACACCCUGUUACUACAUCUCUGGGACAUCUCAUCUCGAUUCAUUCAUCUGGAAGCAGAACGAUCAUCAACCACCUGAAACAAAACAAAAAAUCAUUGUACAUAACAUUUCUCUUAAGGUUUUUACUUAUAUAUUAAUCCAACUCCUCAACAGUGAGUGAUGAUCGAAUAACUUUUCCUAUACUUUAUUUUCUAUAUAAAAUUGAGAAAUUAUCAAGAUAUACUACUGAGAAUAUAAGGA
Molecule: long non-coding RNA, 1250 nt
Filed under: Nilaparvata lugens (brown planthopper)
Lineage: Eukaryota; Metazoa; Arthropoda; Insecta; Hemiptera; Delphacidae
Description: uncharacterized LOC120350984, transcript variant X1
Source: RNAcentral